Molecule: non-coding RNA, 110 nt
Organism: Acanthosepion pharaonis
Lineage: Eukaryota; Metazoa; Mollusca; Cephalopoda; Sepiida; Sepiidae
Source: the annotation of a GenBank genome assembly
UUACGACCAUAUCACUUUGUAGCAGUGGUUCCAUACGAUCACCGAAGUUAACCGAUGUCUAGCCUGGUCUGUACUUAGAUGAGUGACCACGUAGGAGUACAAGGUGAUGU